RNAcentral lists this ribosomal RNA (440 nucleotides) under uncultured bacterium. RNAcentral's name for it is "partial 16S ribosomal RNA". It matches the Rfam family "Bacterial small subunit ribosomal RNA", at positions 338 to 795 of the family's 1533-position model. The record is from RNAcentral.
CCUACGGGUGGCAGCAGUGGGGAAUAUUGCACAAUGGGGGAAACCCUGAUGCAGCAACGCCGCGUGAGUGAAGAAGUAUUUCGGUAUGUAAAGCUCUAUCAGCAGGGAAGAAAAUGUCAGUACCUGACUAAGAAGCCCCGGCUAACUACGUGCCAGCAGCCGCGGUAAUACGUAGGGGGCAAGCGUUAUCCGGAUUUACUGGGUGUAAGGGGAGCGUAGUCGGCUGCGCAAGUCAGAAGUGAAAGCCCGGGGCUAAACCGGGGGACUGCUUUUGAAACUGUGUAGCUGGAGUGCAGGAGAGGUAAGAGGAAUGCGUGGUGUAGCGGGGAAAUGCGUAGAUAUUACGAGGAACACCGGUGGCGAAGGCGGCUUACUGGACUGUAACUGACGUUGAGGCUCGAAAGCGUGGGGAGCAAACAGGAUUAGAUACCCGAGUAGUC